GACCCACUGGGGGGGGGGGAGAGAGAGAGAGAGAGAGAGAGAGAGAGAGAGAACAGGAGUAUCUUUUUCCCUCUCUCCCUCUCUCUCCCCCUCUCUCGCCCCCCACCAUGCCGGCUUCCUCUGUUCUUUUCUUCACCUCUCUCUUCCUCCUCUUCCUCCCCCCCUCUCUCUGUC
This 174-nucleotide small RNA is filed under the name Marmota monax (woodchuck). Lineage: Eukaryota; Metazoa; Chordata; Mammalia; Rodentia; Sciuridae. The record is from RNAcentral.